Molecule: ribosomal RNA, 253 nt
Filed under: uncultured bacterium
Lineage: Bacteria
Description: partial 16S ribosomal RNA
Rfam family: Bacterial small subunit ribosomal RNA
Source: RNAcentral
UACGUAGGGUGCGAGCGUUAAUCGGAAUUACUGGGCGUAAAGCGUGCGCAGGCGGUUUUGUAAGCCAGAUGUGAAGUCCCCGGGCUUAACCUGGGAAUGGCAUUUGGGACUGCAAGGCUCGAGUGCGGCAGAGGAGACUGGAAUUCCUGGUGUAGCAGUGAAAUGCGUAGAUAUCAGGAGGAACACCGAUGGCGAAGGCAGGUCUCUGGGCUGACACUGACGCUCAUGCACGAAAGCGUGGGGAGCAAACAGG